Long non-coding RNA from Suricata suricatta (meerkat), 1176 nucleotides. RefSeq lists it as uncharacterized. The record is from RefSeq and is a predicted model, not a curated record. Lineage: Eukaryota; Metazoa; Chordata; Mammalia; Carnivora; Herpestidae. The transcript is spliced from 5 exons.
UAGACCCACCUUACUAUAAGAACCAGAGUUGAUACUAUAAGAACCCAGGCAUAAAGCAAAGGGAACAGCAUGGCACCUGGUGACUACUGCUCCAAGAUGGGCUGUCUCUAACCUGACCCCAAGAGAAGUUACAAUUCCCAGCUGCAACAGUCUAUGCCACCACCUGACCAUCCUGGAAACUCCAUCACGUGUGAGUGAGUGUAUCACACUUGCCGUGAGUGCAGCUACUUCUCACUGAGAGAAAAAGAUCACCUGGCAGAAAACAAUGAGGAAGUUUGGGGGAAAUGCUGAGUUAAGCAGUCAAAAUAUGUGGGUAUUGCCUUAUCCCUUGGUGACUGUCAGAAAUGAUUCUACCAUGAGAAGAUCUCUAGUCCAAUGAAAGUGAACUUGACCUAGGGAAGCUACCGGGACUGAGUGGUUAUCUGAUCAGAGCUCACGUGUUUAUUUCAAGUACAAUCUCUGCCUCGAAAGCCAAGCCGGCAGUCUCAGGUUUACUGAAAACGAUGGAGCUGGCAAUAAUGAUCUGGUUCCCUGGUAGGUUUACAGACCAAUGCAUAGGCACUGUUUCAUCCUGGUCUGCUGUGAUAAAUGAUCGCCUUUCCUUGCUCCAAAUAGGAUUAUGUCCCUGAUUAAUAACAAAUGUGGAGACUCAGACCCCGAAGCAAGGCGAAGGCAACAAGUUCUCAACCACCAGCACAUUCGUCUCAUAUCCGCUAUGAGACAAAAAGGAGUCACUGAACUCAGAGCAGACAUAGCAAACCUUUCAAGAACAAAGAGCAAGAUGGGGACUUGGUGGCAGACUCUGACAUGACAUUGCACGUUAGAUGAAAUGAGGAACAUUAACUCUCAAGUUGCCUGAGACAAACACACAUUCUCUGGUGCGUGAAAGCUGUGUAAUUCGCAGCGAGCGAGCCGCUCAUUUUUCUCUUCAGAUGUGGCCCAAGAAAAAUGUUGCUUUAUUUUCCUUAGUAGUUCAAAGGAGAUGGUUCAUGCCAGUAGGAAAUCAAGUCACCUCUUUUUUAAAAAACAUUUUCUUCUUCCACUUUCCUCUUUCUUUAUUGUUUCUGGGGUUCCGAAUCUCUCUUUAAGCAACUUCAAACAAAUCUCCCUAACAAAGUCAAGUCAAAUUUAAAAAUGUGCCAUGUUUUUCUGUGAAUAAACCAUGAUAACGUCAUC